CUUUCGAGGCGAGCGCAUCAACGAGUCAAAACCCUAGAUCAUCAACAAAUGGGGCUUAUUUCUUUAAGUAGAAAUCCUGUAGAAAUUCAGAAGGAUCAGCGAUUCAAUCGGUGUCUCAGAUAUGAUGCCCAUACGUUUCAUCUUAUUCUUUUUUUACUUACUGGCGAUUUUUUAGAAUUUUCUUCGUAUUUCGGUAAAUUUCAAAGGGUUCUUGCUAAAUUUGAUUCAUUUUUCGAGUAAAAUUAUUUGAUUAGUGCAAAACCUUGAUUUUGUAGUUGACUGCAGUCAAAUUUGUUUAAAAAGAAUUGUUCUUUCUGAAACCUGUAAUUUUUCUAAUUACCAAAAAUAGAGUAGUAAUUAUUAUAACGUUAGCUGGAAAGAAGUGUACAAAUGUGUGCAUGUGUGUGUUUAUGUAUGAUAUCUGCAUGCAUGUAUGUAUGCAUGGCUUGUGCAUGUCUUAGAUGUCUAAACCUUUGUAUACAAUAUAAACAGAGAGUUUAUAUAUUGCAUAUCUCCUCAAUUUCUGUUUUCAAACCGUUCAACUCUUUCAUUUUCCCUCUCUCUGUGUUUCUAUUUUUUGUCUGUUCAAGAACAAGAGCCCAUAUCUUCUUCCUCAAUUGCUACUGUUUCAGGUAAAUAACUCCAAGCUCUCUCUUUUAUCAUUCUUUUCUUGAGAAACUAUUUACUAGUAGUAAAAGUAGCUUGAAUUGGGUCUUUGGGUUUUUAAUGAAUUGAAUUAUAAGGUGAUGAUUGCUGGAGUUUUUAGUCUCCGUUCUUGAAAAUGUAAUCAAAUGGUUGUUUUUUUUUAAUCAAGAAUCGAUGGAGGAUAUGGGGUUGUCCUUGGAACUGGAACUCAUUUUUUCGAACUAUUCUGUCUUUGUCUGUUUAAGAACAAGAAACCCAAUUCGAAGAAGCCAUAUCUUCUUCCUCAUUGCUACUGUUUCAGGUAAAGAACUCAAAUCUCUUGUUGAACAAUUGGGUUUUUUAAGGAAUUGUGUCAUGAGGAGAGGAUAACUGGAGCUUUUUUACUUUUGUUCUUAAAAUUUUGUUGUAAAUUGUGACAUGGGUUCUUCUCCAAAACUGAUUUCAUAACUGGGUUUAAUCUGAUCUUUAUCAUUUAUGCAGGAAAGUACCAUUUGGCUCAUUUUUCCUGAGGUGCAUUGGUUUCUUUUCAAGAAUCAAUGGAGAUUCUCGGGGGUCAAAAUCUUCUCGAUCCUCCUCACUGUCACAAUUCCAUUCGACAAAUGGCUGCCAUGAAUCGGUUUCUCGAAAGAAUUCGGUCAUCUUAGGGAAGGGUUUUGAGCUGUGAGGUUUGUGUCAAGGAGAAGAUGGAUAAACCACCAAAAGAGAGGGAGCAAGAACUCUUGGAUGAGAAGUUUCUUUGUGUUUGUUUGGAUUGUGAGCAAAUCUUUUGCGGAGACCAUAAUUAUGGGCUUAAUUGUCAUAUGUAUUGGCAUGCAAAAAUCACUGGUCAGCAGUUGGCAGUUCCUAUUAGGGCACGGUGCUCUGUAUGUGAGUCUCUUCUGCCGAUUAGAACAAAGGAGGAGGAAGGAAACAAGAAGGUAGAAUUACAUAAGGAUAUCAAGGAAGAAGCAAAUGUCGUUGAGGAAGAAGAAUCCAUGGAGGAGGGGAACGAGAAUGUAGAAUUACCAAAGGGCAUCAAGGAGGAAAUGAUGCUCGUUGAGAAAGAAGAGUUCUCAGACUUGCCUUCUACAAAAGUUGUCAGAAGGAUGAAAAACUUUGGGAGUACUUGCUACUAUAACUCAGUCCUGCAGAACCUUCUGUCUAUGAAGCGAUUGCGGCUCUAUUUUCCGAAAUCAGGUCUCAACCCGGAUCAUCCUAUCACCAGCGAUUUAUGGAACCUCUUUCUUGCCACAUCAUAUGGAGAUGCUGAUAUAGAAUCAUCUCAUAAGAGUCUCUUUGAUUCCAUUUGUUCAAUUAAACAAAAAUACAAGGAAAAUCAACAGCAAGACUGCCAUGAAUUUCUCGGACACCUUCACGAAGUGCUCAUGCUAGAAAAUAAUAGUCUUAUACCUGAUGUUUUUGAAGGCAUCUUCGCUGUUACUUUAUCUUGUUGUCAAUGUGGGCAUACUAAUACAUCGCAUGAGAAAUUUUAUGAUCUUUCUCUGUCGCUUACUUUAGAGGAACGUUCAGCUGUAAAAGAUGAAAGUUUUACAUGGAAGUAUAAUGUGCUUCCCGCAAGAGAAAAUUAUGAUGGUCGGAACAGUGGAUCUUCUGCAGUUAAAGCAGAUAAUGCAGAGAUUUGUAGUAUUUCAGACUCAUCAGAUAGGUGUUCUUGGACAUUGACAGGUUAUAUUGGUUACUGGCUUGAUGAACAACAGAGUGUCAUUGUGGAUUUGGACAAAGAAGAAGAAAAGGAGGAAGAAGGAGAAGUACCAGCAGCAGCAAAGGUUGGCAAAGAAGACUCAAUCAAAGAUAAAGAUGCAAAGCUAGACAAAGAAGACUCAAUUGAUGCAAAGGAAAACAAGAAGAAGAAGAUGAAGACAGAGAACCUAAAGAAAGAAGAAAAGGAAGAACCGAUAAAAGAUGCAAAGGAGAAGGAAGAAAAGGAAGAGGAAAAAGAAGAGAAGAAAGAAGAAACGAAGAACGAAGGUCCGUCAGAUUGUUGUGGAUGGCAUCCUUGUAACUGCAAUAUUGAUUCAAGUGAAGUUCCAAAGCUACCUGAAACUGAGCGCAUUUUGUUGACUGACAAAGAAGACCAGAUUAAAGACAAAGGUAUUAAAACACCAGAAAACUUUCCUGAAUCGAGUAUGAAGGGUAGCAAUCUGAAUCUUGCUGGCGAGUCCCUGUGGCCUUCUUAUUCUGAUGUAUCAAGUUCUCUUCCUGGGUCUGUGCUGGUGUUUGACUAUGAUGCAUCAUCAAGUAGUGAUAGCUGCGCAUCAUCAAGUAGUGAUAGCUGGUCCCCAGAAUUAACUGAUUUUGAUUUAUGGAGUUGUGGAAUUCUAAACAAACAUCCUCCUACUGUGAGCAAAAGAUGCAGCUCUUUUGUGAGUUCUAUGAGUAACAACAGUCCUUUAUCAAUCGAGAUGUGCUUGGACUUGUUCACAGCUUCAGGACGUAUUUCACGUGAAUGUGACCAUUGCCCAUAUCAUCUGAAGGAUACAAACUCAGGACCCCAAAAUGUCAAAGCAAUCAAAACUGACCGUAUCUACAGGGCGCCGCCUAUCUUGACGAUCCACUUGAAACGAUUCGAACAGGAUGCACGUGGCAUCACUAAGAAAAUAGAUAGCCAUGUCAGCUUUCAAGAAGUGCUUGAUCUCACACCAUACAUGGAUCAUAGUUCUGGAAAGAGAAAGGAGACCCUCUAUCGUCUGCUAGGUGUUGUGGUGCACAAAGGAAGAAGCAUGGAUACUGGUCACUAUAUUGCAUAUGUGAAAGGAGCGCAAGGCGAGGGUUGCGGCGCAGUCGUCGUUGAAGGAGAAGAAGGAGGUGGUGAUCCUCUCUGGUUCAAGGCCGACGAUAAUGUUGUGAAAAGGGUCUCUCUGGAGGAAGUACUCAGGAGUAAGGCGUAUCUUUUGUUCUACGAAACUAUGUGAUCACCUAAAAGACAACGAUAUUCUGUGAAAUUCUGAUAGCAAGGGAGAUUUUAUUGGAUCUUGCACUUGUAUGAGAACGAGUUCUUUUCGAACCAACAUAAUGGUGAAAAUUUAGUCUCAGCCUAAUUUUUCCUAAAUUUCAAUGCAUUCUUGAUCAAGAACCUGUGGUGUCUUUUGUUGAUUAAGAAAAUCUCGAUCAAGAACCUAUGGAAAAUGUCAAGGAUCAAAACUCUUCCAAACCUUCCCACCGUCAUUAUGUUAAAAAUUGCCCGCUUAGGGAAACAGUUGAAGGUCUCUGGUCUUCUGCAGGCGGGGUGUUAAACUGUGAAGAAUGUCAAAAGCAAAAUACUCCAAGUGGAAACUAUCUUAUUGCUUGCUUGAAUUGCCACAGAAUCCUCUGCAAAUUUGACAGUGGUUCUGGGUUUAUUGGUCAUAUCAAGGACCAUGAAAUUUAUUGCGAUGCAAUAAAAGAUUCUUGGUUGGGUACUGUCCUGGUUGGUAAAUGGUGUUAUGCCUGUACUUCUUUUCAACCAAGCGAGAAAGUGGAGAA
RNA transcript from Asparagus officinalis (garden asparagus), 4107 nucleotides. It is a transcript of the gene named ubiquitin carboxyl-terminal hydrolase 2-like, with no coding region annotated. The transcript has 4 exons. The record is from RefSeq and is a predicted model, not a curated record. Lineage: Eukaryota; Viridiplantae; Streptophyta; Magnoliopsida; Asparagales; Asparagaceae.